GCUAGUAUUGGUUGGUACAUUAACAUGCUGCUUAGGUGAGCAUUAUAAUGAAGGUUGAAGCAACAGAGUAAACUCACAUCUUCCCCCCAACUUUUUGUUCAGUGCAUCUUUCAGAGCCCUAUAACUGAAUGUUGGUAAGAAAGCUGCAGCAUGGUAAGGUUGGAAGUUUCAGAAAGUACCUGAAGCUUGGUUGUCUGCUCUCAGUUCC
This 208-nucleotide long non-coding RNA is filed under the name Oryza brachyantha (malo sina). RNAcentral describes it as "long non-coding RNA (OBRA_LNC001896)". Lineage: Eukaryota; Viridiplantae; Streptophyta; Magnoliopsida; Poales; Poaceae. The record is from RNAcentral.